Molecule: non-coding RNA, 194 nt
Organism: Hydra vulgaris (swiftwater hydra)
Lineage: Eukaryota; Metazoa; Cnidaria; Hydrozoa; Anthoathecata; Hydridae
Source: RefSeq, a predicted model, not a curated record
UUUAAGUCUAAUUUACUUAACAAAGUGCACCAACGAGAAGUUUACAAGCAAAGUCCAACGACGAAAAUUACGAGUGAAGAACGUUUAUCAGGUGGCAUAUCAGAAUUUUGUAAAAUUUGAACGAUUUGGAGCAACUGAUGCAAUUGUUCUAAACUUUCUACAAAUUUGAUUGGUUAUAAAUAACAUUUCUUAUA